RNAcentral lists this non-coding RNA (45 nucleotides) under Diaphorina citri (Asian citrus psyllid). Lineage: Eukaryota; Metazoa; Arthropoda; Insecta; Hemiptera; Psyllidae. The record is from RNAcentral.
GUCCAACUGAUGAGUCCAAAAAAGGACGAAGCACGUGUCUUGGGC